This is an RNA transcript of Xiphophorus hellerii (green swordtail), 4743 nucleotides long. It is a transcript of the gene named choline/ethanolamine phosphotransferase 1b, with no coding region annotated. The transcript is spliced from 10 exons. The record is from RefSeq and is a predicted model, not a curated record. Lineage: Eukaryota; Metazoa; Chordata; Actinopteri; Cyprinodontiformes; Poeciliidae.
UUUCCGUGAUGGCUAACGAUAACUAGCUCACCAAGCCGACUGGGUGCUGGGACACCGGGUCGUGGACAUUUCUUUACGGUUGCAGACGCUGCUCUGGAUCAUAAACAGUAAAUCGGAGCGGACACUACAAGGACAAGCUGGCUGUUGGACUUAAGCUUCAUAACUGACCCGUGGACAGUCCGUGGCUCCCGUCCUUUAAUCGCCAGACGUCAGUCCAGCCACAUCGUGGAUCUUUAGCCCUCCAGGCAGGACAGUGGCAGAGGCAGAGCCAUCAGGGAUCACAUCAGGGCUCCAUGAGCAUCACGGGGCAUCACGGGGGAGGCCUGCGUACUCGCCGAAGCCUUGCCCGGGACAAGGAUCAGAGGCCAGGCAUGGGCAUGGAGGCGGCCUGCUGGCUGUCUCCUGGAGUCCUGCGCAGGUUGAUCGAGCUUCCUUCUCCCCCUCUAUCCCGGCACCAGCUCAAGAGACUGGAGGAGCAUAGGUACAGCAGUGCUGGACGCUCGCUGCUGGAGCCUCUGAUGCAGCGCUAUUGGGAGUGGUUGGUUGGACAGGUCCCUUCCUGGAUUGCCCCCAACCUCAUCACCAUCAUCGGCCUGGCCACCAAUGUCUUCACCACCCUCGUGCUUGUCUAUUACUGCCCUACUGCCACUGAGCAGGCUCCUCUCUGGGCAUACCUAAUGUGUGCAGUGGGUCUCUUUAUCUACCAGUCAUUGGAUGCCAUUGAUGGAAAACAGGCCAGACGCACCAAUAGCAGCUCUCCAUUGGGCGAGCUAUUUGACCACGGCUGCGACUCCCUCUCUACAGUGUUUGUUGUACUGGGAACCAGUAUAGCAGUGCAGCUGGGCACCAACCCAGACUGGAUGUUCUUCUGCUGCUUCGCUGGGAUGUUUAUGUUCUACUGUGCCCACUGGCAAACAUACGUGUCAGGAACGCUACGCUUUGGCAUCAUUGAUGUGACUGAGGUGCAAAUCUUCAUUAUAAUCAUGUAUUUGCUGGCCGCCGUGGGAGGAUCUGCUUUUUGGCAGUCACUGAUUCCCGUCCUAAAUAUCCAGAUGAAAAUGAUUCCGGCCAUUUGCACUUUACUAGGAGCCAUCUUCUCUUGCACAAAUUACUUCAGAGUUAUAUUUACUGGAGGUGUUGGUAAAAAUGGAUCCACAAUAGCUGGAACCAGCGUCCUCUCUCCUGUCCUACAUAUUGGUUCAGUUAUAAUUUUGGCAGUGAUGAUAUACAAAAAGUCUGCUGUCCAGCUCUUCGAGAAACAUCCAUGUCUUUAUAUCCUGGCGUUUGGCUUCGUAUCGGCCAAAAUCACAAAUAAAUUAGGUUGUAGCACAUAUGACAAAAAGUGAGAUGCAUCUCCAUGACUUAGCCUUCUUGGGGCCAGGAUUACUGUUUCUCGAUCAGUAUUUCAAUAGUUUUAUUGAUGAGUACCUGGUACUCUGGAUUGCACUGAUCAUUUCCCUGUUUGACCUGGUGCGCUACUGUGUCAGUGUUUGCAACCAGAUUGCCUGCCAUCUUCACAUUUUUGUUUUCAAAAUCAAGCCUUUGCUUAGUCCCCAGUCCAGCUAAUUGCUGAGUGGACGCCAGCCGUUACUGACUCUGUCCCUUCAACUUAGUCGCACUCAUCUUCUCUUCCCUCAGUUUUACUUCUAAAGAGGCAGGAGUCGAUGUAGUGUAAAAUAUGUGCUUCUGCCAACUGAAUGUGAGGACAAAUAUUAUACAAUAGGAUACUGGAAUAUUACUGUCAUUUUUUCUUUUCUAUGAUUUUACCACCAAUACAGAAUUUAAUUUCUGACAAAGUCAUGGUUACAAUGAGUAAAUGUUUCAGAAGAGUACAGGUGCUACUCGGUGCAGUCCAAGGAGAGAAACUUACAUGUGUUUUAACUGUAUAAGUGCAAGAAAAUGUACAAGGAACGAAUCAAGGUUUUUGCUUUUCAUGAUAAGGAUUUUUGUAAUAUUUGCCUAACUUUAACUUUUGCUAUUGUAAAUAGGAAACUGUUAUAGUGUGCUUCUCUUAAGUUAAAAGUCCUGCUACAACACAUAUAAAUAUAUAUAUAUAUAUAUAUAUAAAAAUUUCAUGUAUUGGAUUUUUAAAGCAACUUCAUCUUCUGCACAUGAAUCAAAACUGUGCUGCUAUUUUGUAUCAGCAAAAUGUGUUUUUGGAAGAAACAGCAGCAACUUUAUUUUAUUAUGUAACAUAUCAGAACAUACUUUUUUCUUUUCAUUAUUUUUUUGUACUUCAAAAAUAUUCACUGCCAGUCCAUUCUCAGUUUAAUCUGUUGGUAUUUCGUUUUGCUUUCUGCAUUACUGGGUUUUGUACACUUUAAAGUUAGUUAAUGAGAAGGUUUUCUUUGUUUUAUUUUUUGGUUACAAAAAACAUUUUCACAAGUGGGAAAGGAGAACUAUAUUGAGUCAGAGGACUCUUUAAUGGCAUUUAUAGUUUUGCAGGUGUAUAUGAGAGGCCUGAGAGACUAAUGGUGGCCUUUGAUCUCAACAGUAAAUUCAUGGUAGUAAUUUCACACAUUUUGAGCUUUUGAUAACUAAAAUGAAAACUUGUGUUUCAGUCCUGUUACGGUUCACCGGCAUCCAAACCGCCCCAAAAGAAAUUCCAUGAAAAGAACAAAUCAUACCUGCACGUCUCACUUUUAUCACCUACUUUUACUAAGAUGUUUGCACCAACUUGGUAUCUAACGGUGUUAUUUUGAUUAAAAAUAUAAUUUUUAUUUUGAUUAAAAUUUAUCUAAUUUUCUAAGCUGCUUGUUCUUCUAUUUUACCCUUUUUUUUCCUUACCAUUUUUGCUUAGAUUCAGAUGCAAGUUGGGAUUAAAAUAACCAAAGCUGUUAAUUCAUAGUAACAUAAGAACAAAUGACUGCUAAAUGAUGCAAACUUAAUGACACCAAAUUGUGACUAUUAUUUGAAAAUCCUUCUCUUUAGAUCUGAUGGGUUUUUUUCUUUUCUUUUUUUACGUUUGUCUUUUCAUGGGAUUUGUGGAUAAGAAAUCCCCAGACUCUCACCAGACUGAUGAAUGAACACAGUGCAGCUGCCUGACUGAAUCCUCCUUGUGAGCUGUGUCUAAUACUGAUCGCAGUGUUUUCUCCCAAACACGUCUGCUGUAACAGAACAGGUGCACACGUGAAUGAAUGCGCAGGAGAUGAGGUGUAAAAACAAGCUCCAAUUUUUUUUAUUUUUGUUUUUUUAUUUCCUUUUUUGUGAUGAUCAAGUUUAUUAAAAACCCCAUCUAUUCCAUGUGCGGCUGCUGCUGCUCGCUCACCUCAGACUGACGCCAUGUUUAAGAUUGCUGCUGCUGAAGAGGGUUUCCAUUGCUGGUCUGGAUUCAUACAGACCAGGUUAUAAUUUCCUGCUUAUGCAUUUUGUGCCUGUUAAUGUUUGUUUUGGGGUUUUUUUUUCAAAGUCUGUUUCUAGGACUCUACAGUUUUCUUUACCAUCUGUAAUGCCAAAUGUUCAGUCUCAAAAAGUAUGUGGUAUCUCAGUUUCUGUUAACCGAUUUCAGGAUGAUUGUGGUGUUUAAUCAUCCAGAUAUCUGAAUAUAUCUUUACAUAAAAUGACCUGCUCACCCAGAUCAGUUUUUUUCUUUUUAUAAAUUUAUUUGAAAAGUGAUUUUCUGAAAAUAAAAACUUUAAUUCGGAAGAAUGUUUAAUGAGUAUUGGCACUACAUAAAAUAAUAAUCUUGCUCCUACAAGUCUUUUGUUUUACACAAGCAUGUCAUAUAUGUCCAAAUCUCUGAUUUUUGACUCAUUUUAAAACAAUCCAGCUUGAAAUUAAAAUGUUGGAAUUUAAUUGGAAUUUUGUAGAGAAGUAUUUUUGAGUAACAUUGUUUUUAAUAAAAGAUUGACUAAAAGAUUGUUAGAUUGCUUUCCAACACCUGAAGAAUAAUGUAAAAAUUGAAUUGGUAGAAAAAUUACUUUGACAAAAUCCAAUAUUUUAGGAUUGUGGUUCCCAGCCCCACCCCCACCCCCCAUUGUAAAUCAGGUAAUAAAAAAGGUUUUAUAUGUCAAAAACGCUUACUGAACAUUUACCAAUUACAAUUUCCAAAACUUUCUUUGUCUUCAAACUGAACUAAGUUGCAUUUAAAUGUUUGCUGAAUAGGAUGUCCUAAAAGACUUGAAGCUUUAUAAUAAAAUUAAAACAACCUAGAGGGAUUUGGGUGAUCCAGGUCAUCAAAAGAACAUAGCAGAGGGCUCCACUUUGCAGAUUUGGUAUGAAAUACAAGGUACAUUUAAGAAAAGUUAUGGAAUGUCAUUUUCCUAUCUUUAUUUCUGGUUCUCAGUGUUUGUUCUAGGACAAAAUAAGGAAUGAACUUGUUCCUCAAUCUGCAUGUUGUAGUAUUCCACUGUACAGUUUGUAUCUGGAGAGGCUUUGUAUGACUUCUACCUGAAAACUCAGCCGAACAACUUUUCAUAAUGACUCUGUGAGGUACACCACCAUCGCUGCAGCUUGUGUGCUUAUAGUUCCUGGCAUCAGGUCCACUCUCAUCUGUGAAGUUAAAAAAAAAUGCCUUAAUGAACUCAUUCGUUUUCUAUUACUUUGUACAAAUUGAAGCCUUUCUCGAUGAGCGCGUUGUCACUAUGUGCACGUGCUCUCAGAGGCUUGUGGAAAAGUUUGUCUUCUGUUGGCCAGAAAGCCAAGCUCAGGUAUUUCACCAGUGUGCGCCACAGUGUGUUGGAUCACCUGACAAUCUCUGCUUCAUCUAACAAUGCAAAUAAAUUUCAUAUUCCCACCUAAAAA